GACGAACGCUGGCGGCGUGCCUAAUACAUGCAAGUCGAACGGUUUAGUUCCAAGAGGCUUGCCUUUUGGAACUAGACAGUGGCGGACGGGUGAGUAACACGUAGGCAACCUACCUGUCAAACCGGGAUAACCUCGGGAAACCGAAGCUAAACCCGGAUAAGCUCCUUUUUCGCAUGAAGGGGGAGUGAAAAGGUGCGACCUGAUGACAGAUGGGCCUGCGGCGCAUUAGCUAGUAGGUAGGGUAACGGCCUACCUAGGCGAUGAUGCGUAGCCGACCUGAGAGGGCGUACGGCCACACUGGGACUGAGAUACGGCCCAGACUCCUACGGGAGGCAGCAGUAGGGAAUCUUCGGCAAUGGGCGAAAGCCUGACCGAGCAACGCCGCGUGAGUGAGGAAGGCCUUCGGGGUGUAAAACUCUGUUGUUUGGGAAGAAGGGGAAGGGUAGGACCCUUAGGUGACGGUACCAAACGAGAAAGCCCCGGCUAACUACGUG
RNAcentral lists this ribosomal RNA (494 nucleotides) under uncultured bacterium. RNAcentral's name for it is "partial 16S ribosomal RNA". It matches the Rfam family "Bacterial small subunit ribosomal RNA", at positions 28 to 507 of the family's 1533-position model. The record is from RNAcentral.